Mesocricetus auratus (golden hamster) is the source of this 1566-nucleotide long non-coding RNA. RefSeq lists it as uncharacterized. The record is from RefSeq and is a predicted model, not a curated record. The transcript has 4 exons. NCBI's taxonomy places the organism in Eukaryota, Metazoa, Chordata, Mammalia, Rodentia, Cricetidae.
UACUGGUUAGGAAAUCAUCUUCAAUACAAACAUUGGGCAGAAAAACCAGAUGAUCACUAAUAUGAAGGAAACUGAAUUGUCAGUGUGGGGCAGGAUUUUCCUAAACUAGUAUAACUGAGUGGUCACUCAGAUGGGCCAGCAUAGACUUAAUUAUCUGGAAUGUGAACUUUACAGAUAUUUAUAGAUAUGAUACAGGCAACACUUGGGAGAUCAGCUAGAAGAUUUACAUAAGGCAGAGGGAAGGAAUUUGGGCUUCCUCAUUUGAAGUCUGGAGAACUCUUGCACAUCAAGGAGGAAGCCCAGCUGCAUCUCACAUGACUUAGAAUAUUUUUCUUAUAUACACCAGCUGCCUCGGACUUUGUGUUCGAAAGCCACAUGGAGAAAUACAACUAAGGGAUCAUGCCAAGGUUGAAAGGGCCUCAAAGCUACUCCAUUUUCAGAGACCCUACCUUUGCUCCUUAAUGUCACCAAGUGAGUCUUCUACUAACCAAACCAACAGGGCUUUUUCCUUUCCCAUUCUGAAAUGUCAGGAAAUCUCUCCUAAGUUAUCAGAAAAGAAGUGUUCUCUAGUGAGAGAAACUUGCUUCAUUGAAUAGCAAGCUAUUCUGGAAGAAGAGAAAAGGCAAGGAGCCAACCAAGCAUCCACCUCCAUUAUUGAGUAACAAGCUAUGUAUGCUUUGAUGGUUAAAAUCCAGUGACAAGAGAGGUACCUGUCAUCUUGAGAUUUCAAAGACAACUGAAGCUAUUUACACUGUACCACACGACUAAGGAGCCCCCAGCACAUGUGGACACAUACCAUGGAUGUGUUAUUAUUCUGAUUUUGAUCAGAACACGGAUUAAAAAGGGAUGUUCCCUUUGUACCAGAUAAAUUUUCAAAUUCCCAUUUAAAAAUUUAGUCUUUGAUGGCUUCAUCCGGGAUUUAAAAAUGGAACAAAAGAAUCUGGGAACAGUUGACACUUUGAAAAUCUUCCUUAACCUUCCGAGGGGACUUUAAGCAACUCUAAGAAAACCCUCAGUGAAUGUCACUGACUUUCAGAGCUCACGCUGUGAUGUCCAGUGGACGCGCAGCAGCCCACUCUAUCAAUGCAGUACAACUUAUUCGCUACCAACAGGCAGAGGAGUUGCUUCUGAUUUGGGGCUACCAUGGUAAAACCACAGUAAACAUCCUUAUGCAUCCCCUCUGAUAGACAUGCGUGUUAAUUCCUCUUCCAUUUUCUUGGUGUGGCGUCACAUGUGUGGGUACAAAUGUGUUUAACUUCACUGGCCAUCACCUGGCCAAAGUGGUUGAAUCUAUUUAUAAAUCCACUAGCCUGGAUCUAGUCCGGUCCUCCAUAGACAUGCCAAAUACUGGAUCUUGUCAGGUUUUUUAUUUCAGCUAUGCUAUGGGUACGCAGUAGUAUUUCACUACAUUUUAGUAUUCAUCUUCCAGAUGGCUAACUAUGUUAAGCAUCUUUGUAGAUGUUUGCUAGCCAUCUUGAAAUCCUCUUUGGUGAUAUAAACUGAAAAAAAAUCAUUGAGCUAUAUUUGAAAUUUCUUUUUUCUUAUUAUUUGUUGUCUAUCCUGAAA